GAUCUACCUGUCUGUGUGCGUUUCGUGACAGUAGAGUGAUUAUGCAGUAUAUUUGUUUAUGAAAGAUUAUGAAAUACACACUACUGAUCAAAAGUUAAAGGUCCUGGUAGUUUUACAGGAGAGGACAGUGCAGAGUUUCACAUUCACGGGGUCCUGCUGUCAUUAGUGGGGUCUUACAAGCACCUGGGAGUUUGCUGGGUCUGCGGCCUGCAGAAGCGGGUGGGUUUACCCGACGGGUGUUCAAUGCUGGAAAAUUAGACCUUACUGAAAUAAAGGGUCUAGGUUAAUGGAUCCA
Long non-coding RNA from Cyprinus carpio (common carp), 295 nucleotides. The record is from Ensembl. Lineage: Eukaryota; Metazoa; Chordata; Actinopteri; Cypriniformes; Cyprinidae.